Molecule: ribosomal RNA, 628 nt
Filed under: uncultured bacterium
Lineage: Bacteria
Description: bacterial SSU rRNA
Rfam family: Bacterial small subunit ribosomal RNA
Source: RNAcentral
GGAUGGACCUGCGGUGCAUUAGCUAGUUGGUAAGGUAACGGCUUACCAAGGCAAUGAUGCAUAGCCGAGUUGAGAGACUGAUCGGCCACAUUGGGACUGAGACACGGCCCAAACUCCUACGGGAGGCAGCAGUAGGGAAUCUUCCACAAUGGACGCAAGUCUGAUGGAGCAACGCCGCGUGAGUGAAGAAGGGUUUCGGCUCGUAAAGCUCUGUUGGUAGUGAAGAAAGAUAGAGGUAGUAACUGGCCUUUAUUUGACGGUAAUUACCUAGAAAGUCACGGCUAACUACGUGCCAGCAGCCGCGGUAAUACGUAGGUGGCAAGCGUUGUCCGGAUUUAUUGGGCGUAAAGCGAGUGCAGGCGGUUCAAUAAGUCUGAUGUGAAAGCCUUCGGCUCAACCGGAGAAUUGCAUCAGAAACUGUUGAACUUGAGUGCAGAAGAGGAGAGUGGAACUCCAUGUGUAGCGGUGGAAUGCGUAGAUAUAUGGAAGAACACCAGUGGCGAAGGCGGCUCUCUGGUCUGCAACUGACGCUGAGGCUCGAAAGCAUGGGUAGCGAACAGGAUUAGAUACCCUGGUAGUCCAUGCCGUAAACGAUGAGUGCUAAGUGUUGGGAGGUUUCCGCCUCUCA